GCCAGCAGACAUAUCACCCUGCAGCUCACAACUGAUAUCUCACUCAAGCUAAGCAGGUGUGAGCCUGGUCAGUACCUGGAUGGGAGGCCUCCUGGGAAAAACUAAGGAUGCUCCUGGAA
RNAcentral lists this ribosomal RNA (119 nucleotides) under Lepisosteus oculatus (spotted gar). Lineage: Eukaryota; Metazoa; Chordata; Actinopteri; Semionotiformes; Lepisosteidae. The record is from RNAcentral.